RNAcentral lists this ribosomal RNA (253 nucleotides) under uncultured bacterium. Its description in RNAcentral is "partial 16S ribosomal RNA". It matches the Rfam family "Bacterial small subunit ribosomal RNA", at positions 524 to 776 of the family's 1533-position model. The record is from RNAcentral.
UACGUAGGCAGCAAGCGUUGUUCGGAGUUACUGGGCGUAAAGAGUGCGUAGGUGGUGCCCUAAGUCUGUUGUGAAAUCUCCCGGCUUAACUGGGAGGGUGCGGUGGAAACUGGGGUGCUUGAGUGUGGGAGAGGUAAGCGGAAUUCCUGGUGUAGCGGUGAAAUGCGUAGAUAUCAGGAGGAACACCGGUGGCGAAGGCGGAUCUCUGGGCCUUACCUGACGCUCAGGUGCGAAAGCUAGGGGAGCGAACAGG